AUGUGCAUCGAAGGUCUGGGCGCCGUGAACGAGUUCCCCCGCGACCAGCGCCGCCGUGGCCGUUCCCUCGCCUUCCUCCUCUGCACCACUUGCCCGCCGGCAGGGCCUCGUCCCUACCUCCGGCGUGCCAAGUUCGUCGUCAUCCUCCCCCUUGCUGUUGCUGCUCCUCGUAGGUCUUCCUGGUGCCCUCGUCUCUGCUCGCGAGAGGAUGAGUGUGACCGCUGCUUCGAUCUGUGA
This 237-nucleotide ribosomal RNA is filed under the name Triticum aestivum (bread wheat). RNAcentral's name for it is "partial small subunit ribosomal RNA". The record is from RNAcentral. Lineage: Eukaryota; Viridiplantae; Streptophyta; Magnoliopsida; Poales; Poaceae.